Gadus chalcogrammus (walleye pollock) is the source of this 4293-nucleotide RNA transcript. RefSeq lists it as uncharacterized. The transcript has 4 exons. NCBI's taxonomy places the organism in Eukaryota, Metazoa, Chordata, Actinopteri, Gadiformes, Gadidae. The record is from RefSeq and is a predicted model, not a curated record.
AUUUAACUAUUUAACCACAGGAGAAAGAAGGAGAAAGAAAUAAAACUUCAAGUCUCCAACUACAAGUGUUAUUUUGCACAAGCAAAAGAAAAAGCACACAUUGAUAAUGAUUUAUUUUAAUAUGUUUCUUGUUUUUGUAAUGAACUAGUUAAGUAAACAAGUUCUGCAUUAUAGAUAGAAACACAUCAGAUAACCAACCCUCCCGACCAUAUCACAAUACAAUAGGCCUAGAUUAAAAUGGAAUACAAUCAGGCAAUAUAAGGGGCAGCUGUGACUGUUAAGGAACUCUUGUAACAUUCUACAUGGACCAAUUAUCAGAGCAUUCCACCCCUUCUUUAUAGGUCCAUGGCUGUUUCCCAAUGUGAAGGCUGCAGCCUUGCUAGGACGCGUCCUUGCUAGUCGCGUCCUAUGGAGAUGAGACUAGUGCUAGCUCGAGUGCUUCCUAGCGUUUGUAACGUUCAGACUUUGGAAUGACUGGCUAGUGUGGAAGCGCUUCCGCUGUGUAAACACAUGUGCACUUCUGAAUAAAACAUGGAAGCAAUGAAGCUGAUCAAUAUUUAUUUGCUGUGGUGUGAGCUGGAGGAGGACUCCGAACGACUUUAUUGGCGGAGGGUUGAACGAAGGAUGACGAUUGCUCUAUUGUCGGAGUCUGCCAUCAGAAUGUCGAGGCCAUGCAUUACUGCCAAAACAAAGCCACCGUGCCAGUGCUGCAGCGCUUCUUCCAGGGAGAGGACACCCGCCCUGAUUUCAGGCUUAGCCGGGAGGCUAUCUAGGUCCUCCAAACGGAGCGACGGAUCGAAUGGUGCACAGAAUUGCGGAGGAGGUUGUAGCUGUCCGGGGCAGUUUCAUCAAGCUGCCAUCAAAUUAUGAGGAGGUCAAGGCCAUGGGUGAAGGGUUUGCCCUGCUGGCAGGGCACCCUGCUUUCGCUAAAGCAGCUGGGGCCAUCGACGGAUCCCACAUCUGAAUUAAAUGUCCUUGCGGCCCUGAUGGUCAAGACUUCGUGAACAGGAAGCUGUAUCCAUCCAUGGUGCUGCAGGCAGUCUGUGACCAUCAGGGUCGCUUCAUUGACACCUUCGUGGGCUUCCCAGGAAGCGUGCAUGAAGCACGCAUCCUGCGAAAUAGUUCAAUUUACCUGGCUGGCAAUUACCCUCCACCAGGCCAUUUCAUCUGGGGUGAUGGUGGCUAUCCAUGCCUUACACAGCCGAUAGCCCUUAUCACACCAUAUAAGCGGCCACUCAGAGGCAUGGCAGAGCAAAGGUUUAAAGGGCAACUUCACCCAUUUCACAUAAGCUUUGUAUUUUUAGAACCCCCCUCAUAUUUUUGAAUGGUCUAGCAUCAUUCCCUUAUUUUCUGGAGAGACUGGAGAGAUCCGUAUCGAUCUCCAACACUUCCUGUUUUCAAUGACGCAAUAUGACGAUUUUUGCGUACAAGAAAAUAGGAAGUGUAAGAGGGGAUGAUUCUCGUAACACCGAGAUUCCACCGGACGCGUUACGGCAGCGUUACGGCAGCGGCACGUCUUGGGCGCGACUUUGCCCUGCUUGCAUUUCCACCGGGCGCGUUACGGCAGCGCAGCGGCAGCCGUAUUCACGCAAGAUCACGAGAUCCCGCGAUAAUCCGGAACGUACGCGAGACCGCGAGAUCCCGUGAAAUACCGCGUGUAACGGUACAGCAGAGCCCGUCUCAUUUUAGACAUUCUCUGGUAACAGCUGACUUUGCUUCUCCGACGCUGAAAACUUGAUCUGGCCAUCUAUCCUCAAUUUUCUGCUUCUACCAUGGGUAAGUUUGCUACUCAGUUUCUAUAUUCACCUGGUUGUACUUUUUUAAUCGUAGUUUCAUUAUUUCAUACUUUGUUGUGCUGUACUGAAACUAAUUACAUAGUUAAUGCUGUUAAAAGUCCAGCUAUAAAUGAUUAAAUACAUGAUUUGUUGCUUUUUGUUUAUAAAAACAAUAAGUUUCAUUCAUGAUAAUUAUCAUGAUAAUUAUUUCAUAUGUAUUGUUCACAUAUAGUGCCUUGCAGAAGAAGAACCCUUGCAUUCGUCCUCCUACUUGAAGGACUGCAGAGGAGGGGUAGAGGGAGAAGGAGCCGAUUCUGGGUUCAUCCCCUCAACCAGAAAAGAAGAGAACAAGGCGAUUUUCACAAUCUGGUGGCUGAACUGAGGCUGGACAGUCAACGCCACCAUCAGUAUUUCCGAAUGAGUGCAGAGCAAAUGGACGAACUUCUAUCCUUCAUCGGCCCUGAAGUGACCAGGCAAACCACUAACUACAGAUCUGCCAUAGAACCCAAGCAGAGACUGGCUGUGGCACUAAGAUGGGGCAAAACGAAGGACAUGAUCUCCGCAUAUUUCCAGUCCUUCUGUGUGCCACCUGCCGAUCCACUUGGCCGAUCCACUCUUUUCCGUUUUUUUACAAAUGCGUCCCUUAAAACCUUCCAUCUUGCUUUACACGUGUCAGCUGAAACAAAGGAGAGACACAGUCAGGAACUCAGUCCACAUGGUGUGUGCUGCCAUCGAAAAAACGAUGAUGGAGAGGUUCCUACCCAGGCCAACACAAGAGACAUGGGAGGAAGUGGCUCAAGGCUUCUGGGACAAGUGGAAUUUUCCAAACUGCCUGGGAGCAAUAGAUGGGAAGCAUGUGACCAUCCAAGCCCCAGCACUGAGUGGGAGUCAGUAUUUUAAUUAUAAGAAAACGUUCUCGAUAGUGCUUUUGGCACUUGUGGACUCGAACUACAGGUUCAGGGUCAUUCAAGUGGGGGACUUCGGAAGGUCCAGUGAUGGCGGCGUAUAUGCUGGGUCGGCUCUCGGAAGAGGAAUGGAGACCAAAACCCUUCAUGUCCCACCCAGUACCUCUCUGCCUGGCGCUGCUCACUUGGGUGAUGUGCCACAUGUCAUGGUGGGUGAUGCAGCCUUCCCACUGAAGCCGUAUCUAAUGAGGCCAUACCCCGGACAUCACCUCACUCACAAUAAGAGGGUAUUUAACUACCGACUUUCAAGGGCAAGGAUGGUGGUUGAGAAUGCUUUUGGCAUUCUCUCCUCCAGGUGGAGAAUCUUGCAUCGCAGGAUCAACCUGCACCCACAAAAUGUGGACACCCUUGUUUUGGCUGCAUGCAUUCUCCAUAACUUCCUGCUCGCCCCGAGAGAGAAUGUGAGGUUGCUGGAGGAGGCAGAGCAACAGGGGAGAAACCUGCCAGCAGUACGCAACAUGGGAGGAAACAGAGCCUCGAGAGAGGCCUGUAAUAUCAGGGAGAUCUUCUGCACCUAUUUCAACUCCCCACAAGGCAGUGUGUCUUGGCAGGACAGGAUGGUGUGAAAGUUCUGCAAAAAGUGUGGAAAUGUAUAUAUUUGUAAAUAGAUGUUUUUUUGGUUAUUCAAGGCAAGGCAACUUUAUUUGUAUGGCACUUUUCAUACACAAGGCAGACUCAAAGUGCUUCACAUAUAAACAUUGUCAUACAAUAAAAUAAAAUAAUAGGUAAGUAAAAGAAAAACAUGCAAAAAAUAGAAAGUUAAAAAAGCUUUUUUAGAAAGUGCAAUGUAUUUAGAUGGUUUUUUUUACAUGCUCAUGCUUUAUUGUUCUAUUCUAAAGAUGUCAUCAAUCAUUGUGAAUAAAACAUUUCAAAAUGAGUCCGCUGUUCUUUUCAUCUUCAACUCUCCUGAAAGUUCACACACUUCCCUCACAGCUAACUAUAUGAUCAGUAUUUAACACUGGGUAGUUACAUUUUCAAUAGGUAGUUAUAAUAGUAUUACAUAUUUGUAUACACCUAUAAUACGAUAUAUUGAUGCACUUCUUAUGACAAAUGUACUUAUUGUAAGUCACUUUGGAUAAAAGCGUCUGCUAAAUACCCUACAUGUAAAUGUAAUACCAUAGCUGUGUGAAAUAUUUUGUAAUGUAGGCUAUCUUUUCUUCCAGAAAGUACAAAAGUUUUAAAGUUAUUCAGUCAAGUACUUCCAAAGAAAACUAAUAUUUAAAGUAAUUGAAAAUGUUCUGUAACUUUGCACUGAUCAGGACAUAUUUUACAGAUACACAAAGGUAGAUUUUGUACAGUUCAUUUAAAGUCACAUUUUCAUAAUCUUAAUCAGAAUCAAAGCUUUAUUUGGCAAAUACAUUUUCACGUGAGGAAUUUGUCUUGGUCUUCAGCGCGCACGAUAUUUACAAACACUAAACAGUAAACAAUAAAGCAGUACUUUGUACUCACCAUCCAUUCCCAAAACGACUCCAAUUAAAUUCCACGCUUUGUCCUUCCGGCCAUUGUCCUUAUAAAAAGGAUGUGUGGUUGCAUUAAUUUAUUUAUUUUAUUUU